UUUUUAUAAUAUUUAUAUAAGGGUAAUAAACCUCACCAUCAUAUGUACCUUCCCUAGUCACGAUACCCACAUGUGGUGUUAGAUUUUCCGGUAUGUGGGCUUCCUUGGUUACUGAAUUUGGAAUGGAUGGAUACUUAGAAAACUGUAGAUAUGGUUUGGCUAUGUCCGAACUUGGGCAUCCUUGACAGGGUGUUACCGUAGACCUUUA
Molecule: long non-coding RNA, 208 nt
Filed under: Prunus persica (peach)
Lineage: Eukaryota; Viridiplantae; Streptophyta; Magnoliopsida; Rosales; Rosaceae
Description: long non-coding RNA (PPER_LNC006265)
Source: RNAcentral